CAAAUUAAUUCACGUCGUUCCUUAAAAUUUAGAAAAAACUGAAAUAUGGACUCAUGGGGCAAGGAUAGUUAGAGAUAAUACGGCACGGUAAAAGCGUGUUAAUACCAUUGAAAAUUUUAUAAUUAUAAAGUGUUGCGAAAAAAGUGCUUUAAAUAUCGCAAGGAAGAAUUACGCAGUUAAUUACAGGAAUAGAAACAUAGAAGCUGCACUGUAACGGGAGCGUCAAAACCAUGAAAUAUGGACUAUAUGGUACGACUUGGAAUGUGAAUCGAGAAAACAUCUUUCCCAGAAUUGACGGAUUUAAUAACAGCCGUGGAGAAGACAGGUGUCGGUGCUAUGGAAAUUGUCGCUACGGAUAUAAAAUUGUGAAAAAUUGCUCGUUGACUUAGUUUUCAUGCAGUUGGAUUUGAAAUUAGAUGAUUUCAUCAAAGUUUACAACCAUUUCAUCAAAUUUGUUAUGCAAAGCUGCCAAAAAAAUGCGUUGUCAUUGGUCUUCAAUUAGCGGGUGAAGAACAUAAUACACUGAAACAAUUGGAAUGAGAUCACGGCGAAACGAUUAUUUGAGAAGAAUUUUUUCCUUGAAAUCGCAUAUAACAUUUAAAAAUGCCACAAAGAACAACUGUUAAUCGUUAUGUUGCCUACAGCGAUAAUGACGAUAAAAUGUCAAUUUCCAAUUGUCCUCAAACACAAACUCGAAAGAAGAGAAGAGAUAGUGGUGACAAUGCAAAUCUAAUAUCACAACGUCAAAUAUCUCAAGA
This is a long non-coding RNA of Leptopilina heterotoma, 758 nucleotides long. RefSeq lists it as uncharacterized. The record is from RefSeq and is a predicted model, not a curated record. The transcript has 3 exons. Lineage: Eukaryota; Metazoa; Arthropoda; Insecta; Hymenoptera; Figitidae.